CGUUACAAAGCCAAUUGUCCUGCAAGACCACAAUGCCUGGUUCAGUGCGGAUGGAGAAGGUGGAGAAUGUGCUGCAGGCAGAGGAGAACUGUUCUAUGUCCCUCCUGAUGGUCCUGCACCACAGUACUGCAUUACAGUAGGAGACGUGGGACAGACAUAUGUGGAUUUGGGGAAGCUUUACACAUCAGAAUCAGAACCAGGAAAAGGCUGAGGGAGCAUCUAGGACCACCAUCUCCAACCAUUUUUCUUUAAAUCUUAAAAGCUUGUGAUUUCUUUAAAAACUAAGUCAAGUGUCUUCAAGCAAGGCAUGAGUACUAACAUCUUGGUCAAGGUUAAGGCAGAGUGGGAUGGAAAUGAAAGGCCCCUGAAAUGUUCCAGAACUGACCCCAUCUCUCACCCCCCUCCCCGCUUCCCUUCCCCCUCCCCCACAGCCUCCUCCUCUUCCUUUUCAUUUACUGGCUAUCAUGAAUCUUUUGAAGCUCACAGACUCCGUUGCUAUGCCAGAUGCACAGUACCUUCCAAGGGUAUCUCCAUGUACUCAUUUGUAGAAUCAGGAAGAAGGAGAGACUGGCCUUGGGCCUCAAGCUUGAGUGAGCCCCAAUUUUCUUCACUGACACGGCUUUUCAUCAGGCCCUGGCAACAACCUAAGAAAGAUCUGUCUCUGUUUUGA
Molecule: long non-coding RNA, 670 nt
Filed under: Mus spicilegus (steppe mouse)
Lineage: Eukaryota; Metazoa; Chordata; Mammalia; Rodentia; Muridae
Description: lncRNA (ENSMSIG00000002773.1)
Source: RNAcentral